GGAACAAUGCAAGAAAGGGAGGGACAGAUGACAGAGAAGCAAACAGGAGCAUGGAAACUACAAAAGGCGGUUCACAGAGCAUAGACCGAAGCUAAAAGGUACCGUGACACAGAUGAGGAGACAGUAAAUCUGGGAAGAAUGCAGAGCCAAGAGCAACAAACUGUAGGUGCCUGUUGCCAUAAUUCUUUAGAUGAAAAAACAGCUGGCAGAAAUCUGAGGGGAUAAAAACGACUGCGUGUCCAGCACAGAAAUGGGCAAAUACUACAUUUAUGUUCUUCUUAGGACUGCGAACACGGCAAGAUUAAAGGGGGAAGUGCACGAGUGUCAGAGAUCAGAUACAUAGACAAUUGGUUACCACUCUCUCACUGGUUGAGAGACUAGCUGAUAUCUCCAAGUGAGCCGAAGAAGUCCAGCCCACCGUAAAAACAUACCUGAGCCAAUAAAAGGGAGACCAUCGGCAUCCCAGGAGUCUCUGGAGAAAUGCUGCAGCCUUCAGGGCCAGAAGAUGCCAUCUCCAGGUGUAGACAAGAGUAGAGAGCAAAGACCCGCCUUAGGGAGGAAGGCAGCUUCAGAUAUCCUCUUCAUAAUGAUUAUUAUUUGAUAAUUUGCUAUCACAUCAUUAAUUUGCAGCAACAACUGUCGGAUCUCAGGGCUGCGCACGCUGGGACGAGACACCUCUAAUUGUCCUGAGGUUGUCGGGGGUGUGGGGGAGGGUUGGUGGUUGUCAAAAUGCUUCCCUUCCCCACCCUGCUAUUUGUCAGGAGGGAGUUUCGGCCAGGAAGUCAUUACCGAAGUGUAAAUGCGCUCGGUUUUCCCUGUCUGACAGGGCAUUUGGACACGCUUGGCUCCAGCUUAUGAAGGGGAAACUGAGAAGUGUUCCACAUCCCCUUUCAAAGUCCUUUCCAAACAGUUACAUAACCCUUCAGCCAAUGCAUGGUGGUUAACAUUGAUGACUACGUGUUAUUAUGUUACAUACCCUCCAGCCUAAUGCAAUAACUAUGCAAUCAGCAGCAUGCUUCUUUGUGACUUAUCAUUAUUUGAUCCAGUGUAAUUAAAUUGCUCACGUCAGAAAUGCACCAGCAUGGCAUCUUUGCAUCACACUGGUAAGGCUGGUAUUAGGCCGAUGGACUGGGAUUGGAGAGAAACUAAACUAGCUUGUUUAGGUCAGAAAAUUAGCCUUUUGCGGGAAUAACCUUUGUCGUCUUUAUCCAGAAAGAUGCUGCACACUUGCUGUGGCUAGGACAUCGGCACGAAACGAAUCAGUUCAUUGAACAUAAAUGCAGAGGCUUCAAAAGGGCACGCUCAGUAGCACCUUCGUUAUAGAACGACAUCAAUAAUUAUAGAAAAUAUGAGUCAGUUCCCUCAACUCUGGACACGCUCCAGCUGAGUGAUACCCCAUUGUCGUCGUUUUCCUCAUGCAAUAUUUCAUAAAAUGCACAAAAUCAUUCGACGUCAGUCACUGUCAAAGUCUGACUGUACAUGCAUUCCUGCUAUUAUGUGUGAUUAUCAGCUGUCCUUCAGGGCAAGUAAUGCGUCUGCACAAAAUGGUUCUGCUGUCAAAUUAUGGGCUGUGCCAAAGUGAACAAUGUCUUACAUGAGGCUUACACUCCAGUUACUCAGUCGCAUGUAGUCACUGGCGCCUCAAAACUGUGUAUCUAUUGCACAAUAAAACAAGGAAAUAAGCCGGAGCGUGUUCAAACAAAUGUUCUGAUGCCUGCGUGUCCUCGCAAGUUUACCUUGAUGGGUCCAUGAGAAAGAGUGAGCAAAGCCCUGGCACUCGCUGACUAAGAUGAAGAAUAGCUCGGAGAAUCUGGAAUGCCUCAAAACGUUAUGCAACCAGCAUCAGGUUUCCCGGCUUAAAACAAACAAGCUAACAAAAAGCUGCACGACAUUUGAGACUAGCUGAGCGUGCAGUUGGUAGCAGGCAAACUGAGAAAGCUGUUAAAGUCCAGGUGCUCAUUCGCUAAGCAGAAGUAUCCACAAACUUAGGUGAUUCGAGGCAGGUUGAAGGGUAUUGCUGUUUGGUUCACUAUCUCUGUGGCAUAUGUUACGUAUGAACUCUUGACAUGUCUGGAUGCAAGGAUGGACUUUAAAGGCGACAUGCGUCUCUCAAACUAACGCCCUCUGAAGUCCAGAGGGCAACAGGCACAAGGUGACAAAGUCCAAAACUGCUGCUCUGUCUCCGUUUGAACCAGGAUCCUUGCAUUUCAUAAGCAGCUAAAAAGAUGAAAUGUAUCCCACCAAAUUAAAUCUCUUGUGUUAACUUACUUGUCAGGAUUUAGGUGACAGGCAGAUGAACAUGUUUUUGAGACAAAUGAGAUACAAACAGCUCUGGACUCAGGAAGGAGCUGCUCAAGAUUUCUCGUUUUUUUUAAUUGAGGGAAUGAUGCAGCGAGCAGAGUCUUCAGUGGCACGUGGGACAGACGCGGUUUCCUGUCACUCAACGUACAGCUCGCCCUAUCCACCGUGUAUCUGGCCAGACCAAACCCGACCAUGAGAAAACACUGCGGUGGAAUGGGACUCGUUUGUUAUGACUUCCCUACCUGCAUCUUCUUGUGGGUACGUACCUCUUUGGGGUGACUGCAGUCACCUGGCAAGCUACUGCUUGCUCACACAGACGAAUAUGAGGGAAAGAAAAAAAAAACAGAAAAAGGCCAAUCCACUUAAGAAAGUCACCUUCAGGUCAAAAUCACAAAACACUGAUUAAUCACACUGAGCAAAUUACAGGCACCUGUAAGCUUGGCUAGACACCAAUCUCCCCAUCCCUUUUGUUCUGACUCAAUUUGGAUUAUAUGCAGGAGAAUAUAGGUGUGUGAAUAUAUAAAACUGAUAUUAAAGGUUAGACUAACACAAAUGCAAAAACGACAACAACAACAACAACAAAUGUAACUGAAAUGUCCAUCAUUACUCUGACUGGUAUAAUUUCGACUGUCAAAUUUAAACGGAGAAUUAUAUUCCACACCCUUACCGCUCACAGACUGGCAGGUGAAAGACAAUACAGGCAGGUUUUUCGCAGCUCAUGUCACUGUCUGCGAGCGUCUGGGUGUGUGUGUGACGGAGGGUGAAAGAAGGAGCGAUACAGCGAAGGAAUGGAGCAACAGAGAGGAAACCCGAGAACGAGGAAGCUGGGGAAGGACACGGUGGCUCCAAGAGAGGCCCCCCGUCACUCAAACACGAGCAGCCAAACUUCUGGAAGAGUGAACAGCACCGCAACUGCACCCCAGAGUGAGGACCAUUUAUACCGCAUGGAAGGCGCUGAGGUCUCCCUCAAGGGACAUUCGGCUCUCCUCUGACAUGUCAUACCCACACUGCAGCUCCACAGAGAUGCGACCCGAAUCCUGGCAGCUAUGCAGCCUCAGCAUGAAGUAAAAUAUGUAACCUGAGUAUGAGUGAUAUUGUGAAAUGUUGGGCAUUCAUCAAAAAAGAUGGCAAAUUAUUUUUAAAAGCGUUUUGCUCCCAAGACGGACCUUGUGGGAAAUUCUGGUCUCGCCUCUUGCUCGAUAUGAGACACGGACACAUAAGGAGACGAGAAGGAGCUUAGCAGCCACCUGCAGCAGCACCCAUGGAGCCGGGGGUUAAGGGCCCACAGAUGUGACAAUACUGCCGAGGCCAAUCUGUAACUUUCUGAUCACAGAUACAGAGGCUUAAACCCACUGAGCCACAUGCUGCAUAUCUGGUAUUAAUUUGAAUUCUUAAAUGUCCAAAAAAAGUUGUCAUUUCAAUUAAGCGAAAACCUAACAGCCAAUGACUGGAUCAUUGCUCCUGCUCAGCAAUGUUGUGCUUCAAUAAAGCGAAUCAUUUGAGUACCUGAAUCUACUGAGUGGCCAGGUUAUCCCAUCAAUGGACUUUUUUUUCCUUCCCUGACAGCACAGAUAUAUUCCAGGAUGACAACGCCAAGAUUGUCAAAGAGUGGUUCAGGGAGUAUGAGGAAUCAUUUUCACACAUGAAUUGGCCUCCACACAGUGCUGACCUUAACCCCAUUGGAAGUCUUUGAGACGUGCUGGAGAGGACUUCACGGAGUGGUUCAACUCACCUGUCAUCGGUACAAGAUUUCAGUAAAAAAAAUGUAAGCAAAUAAGGAAGGAAACAAAAGCAGAAAUGCUCUAUAAGCACGUGUGUGCAUGAUGAAUGCACACAGUAGAUCAAAGCAAAAGGUGGACCAACAAAACUCGAAAGUGAUUUUUCAACUUUUAUUUGUAUAUGGUAAUUAUAAAAGAAUUUCUUCAGAAUCGAUAUUAAUAUAAAAUGGUUAUAAGACACUGAAAGCUAUGUAGGUAUUUUUUUAUGAAGCAUGACUCCGCAAUAGCAAUUUUCCAUAACAGAUAAUUAUUUUUUAUUUCAGAGCACACCUUGGGUGGAAUAGCGUCUAAGACCUCAACAAAGAAAUGUAAAAAAAAAAAAAAAACAAAAA
This is a long non-coding RNA of Brienomyrus brachyistius, 4411 nucleotides long. RefSeq lists it as uncharacterized. The record is from RefSeq and is a predicted model, not a curated record. Lineage: Eukaryota; Metazoa; Chordata; Actinopteri; Osteoglossiformes; Mormyridae. The transcript is spliced from 2 exons.